Molecule: ribosomal RNA, 253 nt
Filed under: uncultured bacterium
Lineage: Bacteria
Description: partial 16S ribosomal RNA
Rfam family: Bacterial small subunit ribosomal RNA
Source: RNAcentral
UACGGAGGGUGCAAGCGUUGUCCGGAUUUAUUGGGUUUAAAGGGUGCGUAGGCGGCCCGUUAAGUCAGCGGUGAAAUCCCGGGGCUCAACCCCGGAACUGCCGUUGAUACUGGCGGGCUUGAGUUCGGUGAAGGUGGGCGGAACUGGCGGUGUAGCGGUGAAAUGCUUAGAUACCGCCAAGAACCCCGAUUGCGUAGGCAGCUCGCUGUGCCGAAACUGACGCUGAGGCACGAAAGCGUGGGGAGCGAACAGG